CUUGCUAAUUAUUAUUAUUAUUAUUACUAUUUUGCAUUGUGAAAUGUCUGAUAGCAUCCAGUGACGGUGUGUAACCACAGCCUAAUACUCCCUGAAACGUCUGAUGCUGGAGCUGUGUGCAAGAACAGAAAGGAACCUUGGGAAAUGGAGUGACCCCUCAACAGAGUAGGCAGAAUUGACAUGUGCUGUGUCCUAACCAUUUCACUGGAAAGGAUAAACAUCUCUCUGGACUAGAAUCGACCUCCAGGGUUGGAAUCGAUGCCACCCACACAACACCAUGGGAUGAACAUAGAAGUAUUGCACAGUGCUCAACAAAAUGCUGUGUGUAACUGACCUGCUCACGCUCGGGGAAAACCAUUUUCCAGCUGGACAACGCUUUGUGCUUGCUUGCUUUCUCUGCAUUUAGAAGGGGGGGGGGG
Long non-coding RNA from Thalassophryne amazonica, 419 nucleotides. RefSeq lists it as uncharacterized. The transcript is spliced from 2 exons. The record is from RefSeq and is a predicted model, not a curated record. Lineage: Eukaryota; Metazoa; Chordata; Actinopteri; Batrachoidiformes; Batrachoididae.